AAAAACAGUAAUGAAAAAUCAAUAUUUAGCUUUACCCACCAUUAAAUCUCUUCAUUGGGGAAUAAAUAGAUAUAGGUGAGAAUUUCUACUCACUUUUAGUGCACAAAUCUCGAGGCAGCCGCAAAGCAACAGCCCCACCAACUCAUUUGUCUCUUCUCCUUAGUUUAUCAGCAAAGUUAAACUUCAUUCUUCUUUGGUCUUUCUUUAUUUCAGUCACCUCAACGUACAAUAGUUUUUUCCGUGUUUGUCCUUCCGUUUCUCUCUCUUGCCUUCUCUUUCUUUCAUCUUCUUUCUCUGACCUUGGGCGGCUGUUAUAACGGCUAGUGAAUGCUAAAAGAAAAAAAGUCAACUAGGUUUUUCUGCA
Molecule: long non-coding RNA, 364 nt
Filed under: Aquilegia coerulea
Lineage: Eukaryota; Viridiplantae; Streptophyta; Magnoliopsida; Ranunculales; Ranunculaceae
Description: long non-coding RNA (ACOE_LNC000949)
Source: RNAcentral